RNAcentral lists this long non-coding RNA (242 nucleotides) under Carica papaya (papaya). RNAcentral's name for it is "long non-coding RNA (CPAP_LNC004857)". Lineage: Eukaryota; Viridiplantae; Streptophyta; Magnoliopsida; Brassicales; Caricaceae. The record is from RNAcentral.
ACCCUCUGACGAGAGUGGUGAUGCGAUAUGAUUGUAGGGGUCAUCUUUGGUGAAGUACGAUGGUAACCAUAGUUUACAUGUAGGACCAUUGUGGUUGGCACGACUGUGGUCAUAAAUGUGUCAUGGUCUGGCAAGCUACAAAUUAUUGAUAUAAUAUGUAAUGAAUUGGGUCAUUCCACAUGAGCAGUCAAGAAUCCAUAUUGCCCUCAGUAGAUGGAAGUUGGAACAAUUUCGCGCGAAGA